UACCAGCACCCCGAGUGGUCGGGACGAUUAUUGGGCCUAAAGCAUCCGUAGCCGGUCCUGCAAGUCUUCCGUUAAAUCCAGCUGCUCAACAGAUGGGCUGCGGAGGAUACUACAGGGCUAGGAGGCGGGAGAGGCAAGCGGUACUUUAUGGGUAGGGGUAAAAUCCGUUGAUCCAUAGAAGACCACCAGUGGCGAAGGCGGCUUGCCAGAACGCGCUCGACGGUGAGGGAUGAAAGCUGGGGGAGCAAACGGG
RNAcentral lists this ribosomal RNA (253 nucleotides) under uncultured bacterium. RNAcentral's name for it is "partial 16S ribosomal RNA". It matches the Rfam family "Archaeal small subunit ribosomal RNA", at positions 474 to 727 of the family's 1478-position model. The record is from RNAcentral.